CCUGUAGCUCAGUUGGAUAGAGCAACGGCCUUCUAAGCCGUAGGUCCCGGGUUCGAAUCCCUG
Molecule: transfer RNA, 63 nt
Filed under: human gut metagenome
Rfam family: tRNA
About the family: Transfer RNA (tRNA) molecules are approximately 80 nucleotides in length. Their secondary structure includes four short double-helical elements and three loops (D, anti-codon, and T loops).
Source: RNAcentral